UCUCUAUGAUGUUCCAAUAGAUCCUACUGACCCUUCACUAUGUACUCAGAAGGAAAAUGUGGAGAAAAUGUAACUGAGAGA
Non-coding RNA from Pelobates cultripes (western spadefoot toad), 81 nucleotides. The record is from the annotation of a GenBank genome assembly. Lineage: Eukaryota; Metazoa; Chordata; Amphibia; Anura; Pelobatidae.